Molecule: transfer RNA, 64 nt
Filed under: Hemigrapsus sanguineus
Lineage: Eukaryota; Metazoa; Arthropoda; Malacostraca; Decapoda; Varunidae
Description: tRNA-Tyr
Rfam family: tRNA
About the family: Transfer RNA (tRNA) molecules are approximately 80 nucleotides in length. Their secondary structure includes four short double-helical elements and three loops (D, anti-codon, and T loops). Further hydrogen bonds mediate the characteristic L-shaped molecular structure. tRNAs have two regions of fundamental functional importance: the anti-codon, which is responsible for specific mRNA codon recognition, and the 3' end, to which the tRNAs corresponding amino acid is attached (by aminoacyl-tRNA synthetases). tRNAs cope with the degeneracy of the genetic code in two manners: having more than one tRNA (with a specific anti-codon) for a particular amino acid; and 'wobble' base-pairing, i.e. permitting non-standard base-pairing at the 3rd anti-codon position.
Source: RNAcentral
AAUAAAGUGGCUGAGUUUAAGGCGGUAGAUUGUAAAUCUGUAAACGAAUGAAAUUCCUUUAUUA